Triticum aestivum (bread wheat) is the source of this 3856-nucleotide RNA transcript. RefSeq lists it as uncharacterized. The record is from RefSeq and is a predicted model, not a curated record. Lineage: Eukaryota; Viridiplantae; Streptophyta; Magnoliopsida; Poales; Poaceae. The transcript has 8 exons.
UCUCCCCAGGCCCCAGCCCCCACCAGACAAACCCUAGCCUCACCAAGCCCCACAUCUCGCGCUCCUCCCUCCUCCGUCCUCGUUAGCCGCCGCCGUCGUUCUGCCUCCCUCCUCUCUCUCCUACAACCACGCCGCCAAGAGGAAGCCGUCAUUCGUGGCGCCAUGCCGCUGCCGGGGUGUUGCACACGCAUCGUUCCCCAUAGCCCCUCCCUCAUCCUCGCUCGUCACCACCGCUGCCUGCUACUCCCCUCCACCAUGGUUGGUGCUUCUGGGUUGAAUCUGGCGUUGGUGGGUCGGAACUCGAGAUAGAGGUCGAGACGGGGAAGGUCAGAAAAAUGAGAGACCGGAUGGAGGUGCUCGAGAUAGAGGAAGCUGGAGAUGGUGGGAUCCCUCUCCCCAUAUCUAUUCUCUUAGUUUUUCCUCUUCAAACCUUCAUUGAUGGUCUACCUCCCUCAACACAAUUAUCUUCAUUGUCCAUCCGGUGGUUGGAGCACGGGGCAACGCUCUGGUCGCGAUGGGGUUGAGCUGCGCAGGAGGGGGAGGAGGCUGGCGACAGGGAACCGGGCCAGGGAGGAGGCAAGAGUGGAUCCAUGCCACCAAAUUCUUGGAUAAAUAAUGAGUGCCUAGGUAUGUAUGCUGACAUGUGAGUUAAUUUUUUGGAAAAAAUAUAAUCAUAUAUGUAUUGCCAACAAUUUUUAUGUUUAAAGCAACCAAUUUUGUGAAAAGAGUGGAGAGAAAGAUACAUGUGCAAUUUCUUGAUGUUACAGCGGAUGGAUACUCGAUCUUUAAACAUAAGCAUAGAUGAAUAGGUACAAAUUCGAGGAAAGGCCAAUGAAAUAGUUGUCUAUACACAUAUGUGCCAGUUUUAUACCUGGUUGUCUGGUUGCAUUAUUUAUCCGGUUUCAAUUCAGUUUGAGUAGAUUGUUAUCCGUGAGCGAUACUUGCUACUAUUUGUCGCCAUGCACCAAUUUGCAUACCUAUUUUAGGCACAGAAACCAACCAUGACUGAAAAUCUUGUAUAUAUAAUAUACUAUGAUUCAUGGUGAGAAAAUCAUGAUUUAAUAAACGAAAGGUGGUUUGUUUUGCUAACAGUAAUGAGUAUAAAUGUAAAUCGCAGAUCAUACGCUGCUGCUACGGGCUCCAUGUUGUUUAUGCUAGACAACACAAUGGUGCUUGUGUUAUCUGUAGUUGAAGUCACAGUUUAAUAUUCUUUGCUUUAUGCUUGUGUUAUAUGUGGUUGAAGGGACAUCCUUGUUAGUUUGCAUGGUCUAUGUAAGAAGGGGCAGUACAAUGCUUGUCAAGUUUGUUUAUAUUCUGAUGGAUGUUGAAUUCUGGACAAUGGAGACAUGAAUUUGUUACGUACAUAAGUAUUAGCCAUAGGAUACUUUACUCAUUGACGACAGGUAGUUUUAGAGAACUUCUGAAAAUUCCAAUCCGGGUUUUCUGUGUUCCAUUCAGGAAGAACGCACAGUCUGCACUGGGAUAUUAAUUUCCUUUCAUGGGAGGCCUUCAUUACAUUUCAGCGGCAGUUGCGGAUGUGGUCGGUGGUUGAGGGAGGGUCUCCGACUAGAGCAGCAGGAGCAAGGAGCUCGAGGAAGUUCAGGUUUAUGGCUUCUCACGGAUUGUGAUUCUGGUCAUGCUACCUGUUAUGAAGGCUGAGGCGAGCAUCAUGGAGAUGAGCAGGCGAGUGGCUGAUACAGAGAGCUCCUCGAACAGGGAAGAGGCAUUGCUGGAGGAACUCGAAGAUGAGCUAGUCAAUUUUGGCAUGUCCAGUUCAUGUAACCUUUGCAUCUUUACAUGUCUUUGCCUUACUGCCAUUUUAUUUUUGCUGCUUUGGGAUUAGGUUCCGAAGUCAUGCCUUUGCCUUGCUAUUGUGCUGAUAUUGGAUGCAACAUUGUGGACCUUUGGUUCGAGCAUGCCAGCAUGGCCACGGAUUGUAGGGGAGGAAUGUAUUGCCUAAUGAGUUGUAUGCUUUCUUCGGAUCCUCUGUGCUUCCUAUCACAUCUAUCUUGGCCACCUACAAAUUCUUGGGUCCAGGUAUAUAUAGUUUGGUUUUCUGAAAGUGGAUUGCAUUUGCUUCCUGAUCACAUUGAAACAAGAGUGGAAACAACCAUCGUCCGCCGUCCGUUAUUCCUCCCUUAGGUUCCUGAUCUGAAGCGGAGGGAACACGAGGUCACAUCCACAAAGUGGCGGAAGGGGGCUGCAACGUUUUUCUUCAGUCUGAUAAUCAUAUAGUAAUUAGACGGUGUAGUACUAUGGCGGUGGUAUACUGAUUUGGUGUAAGAAUCACUAACAUGACUUUACUUGUACAAAUCUUACAGGUUAAUGGUAUUAAGAAUUAGUAGCGUGUUUUUUUGUUUACUGCUGGAUUUGCUAACAAGUUGUCUCUUGUGUUGUUGUUGAUAUGUUGACUUGCUAUUUUUUGUUCAGUUGAAGGGUUCUCCAGGCUUAAGAUCUUUCUAGGAUAAUUGCGUCAUUGAAUCUGAAGAUAUUUGAUUGGUUUCUCAACCCAUGUAUCGAUAAGCAUUUUUUCAUCCUCAAUAUAUUGUUACUUACCUAACUUGUCGUACAUUUGUGAGGUUUCUAAGGAAGUUCACUUCUUGCACGCGGCGUAUAACUUGAGUUGCCUACAAAUGAUUUUGCCAGUUCGACGAAAACUUAAAAUAACCAAGGGAAAUUUCUCAGUUUUGUUGUUCUUGCUCUUCUUAGAUCUUAGGUUGGGGGUAUUAACAUAUAUGCCACACACUAAGUUUAGGUCUUAGUGUGAGAUUAAAUAGGGAUAAAUCCUUGUGCCAUGUUGAAGAAUUAGAAUUACAAAAAAGAAAGGAAAUAUUAAAGAAGGGAUAUGGUUGAUUAGGUUAUUUUGGUGUUUCUUUGUAAAUAAUGACAUGCUAACUUGCUGGUUUAAUUUAGGUGUGUGGAAUAUAGGAAAUACAAGGAGAGAUAUUCAGUUGCAAUCCAGCUUUAUUUUCAAAGUGAAACAUGGUAUACAUGCAUAGCAUGCUGGUCUUUUACUCUAUAGUUGUGUGUCGCCAUGGUGUCGACUUUGAACUUGCAAACUGAACUGUAAAAUGUUUUAAUGCCUUGGCGCAUGAAGUUUUCUUUGCCUGCUCUGACUACUUCAUUUAUGUUUAUUUAUCAGGUUAUGCAAUCUCCUGUGUUGCUGCAUGUUGAUCUUCUGUUUUGUUGUAACUCUGUUUUGCUGCUCGAGGACAAUUUCCUGGAUUAAUAUCUAUACUGGAGAUCUAGGAGUCCACCCAAAUUCAGUCUCCAAGAAGCCGUUCAUCCAGGAUCCACCAAAAUUCAAAUGAUAUGUGAAAAGUGUGUGCUAGAUGUGGCCCCUAUCCAGCGUUUUGAUUUGUCCACUCAGGUGCUUUUGUCUAGGUGGUAACACAACAAGUUGCUUAUCUUAUAGAAACUUAUUAUACAUACAGUCCUAUGUUCGUUCUGCUUGCAUGUUAGAGAAAGAGCUUCUGCCCCUAUGUGAGUAAUCCUAUGGGAAUUAGCAAUGUUGGUUGUACUUUCAAGCGGGCUGAAUCCAAUGCAAGUUUUUGGAGCAGUUGGGUUCCAGAACAAACGACUAGGUAUUCCCAAAGAGGUCAUUCCACUGGUGGCUAGCAUAAUACCUUCAUGUCGGGACAACGAUCCAAGCAAGCAACCAUCAUUCUACCAGCUCUUGUCAUCGUUGAAGAAAUUACAGUGGUUACAUUGUUACAGAAAGCCUAUGACAAUUUGCGAGUGUUGUUUGUGCAAUAUAUUGGUUUUAUGGGAGGUGCAUGUAUGAAUUCAGAUGGUAGUGGUCUCCUUGUUUACAGUUAUAAGAAUAAUAAAAAUAUUGAUAAUGGUCUUUCCACUA